RNAcentral lists this ribosomal RNA (494 nucleotides) under uncultured bacterium. RNAcentral describes it as "partial 16S ribosomal RNA". It matches the Rfam family "Bacterial small subunit ribosomal RNA", at positions 28 to 507 of the family's 1533-position model. The record is from RNAcentral.
GACGAACGCUGGCGGCGUGCUUGACACAUGCAAGUCGAACGGAAAGGCCUGCUUUCCCUUGUGGAUUGCGGGUACUCGAGUGGCGAACGGGUGAGUAACACGUGAGUGAUCUGCCCCCAACUUGGGUAUAAGCCUGGGAAACUGGGUCUAAUUCCCGAUAGGACUGCAGGGUGGUGCCUGUGGUGGAAAACGAUUUUCUAGUGGUUGGGGAUGAGCUCGCGGCCUAUCAGCUUGUUGGUGGGGUAAUGGCCUACCAAGGCGGCGACGGGUAGCCGGCCUGGGAGGGUGGACGGCCACAUUGGGACUGAGGUACGGCCCAGACUCCGACGGGAGGCAGCAGUGGGGAAUAUUGCACAAUGGGCGGAAGCCUGAUGCAGCGACGCCGCGUGGGGGAUGACGGCCUUCGGGUUGUAAACUCCUUUCGACCGCGAGGAAGCCACCUGGUUGGAAGGGUGGUGACGGUAGUGGUAGAAGAAGCACCGGCUAACUACGUG